GGUGCUUCAUAGAAUAUUGGUGACAUUCAUCAUUUUCUUACAGUUCUCUCUCUUAGAAAGGUAGUUUCCAUCCUGCUCAGCGAUUCAUGUCCAGAACACAAAGUAUUCUAUUUCGGGGUGUACAAGGUCUGUAUGUCUUUAGAUCUUCAUCUGAA
RNAcentral lists this long non-coding RNA (155 nucleotides) under Pogona vitticeps (central bearded dragon). Its description in RNAcentral is "lncRNA (ENSPVIG00000008299.1)". Lineage: Eukaryota; Metazoa; Chordata; Lepidosauria; Squamata; Agamidae. The record is from RNAcentral.